GAAAUUCCAACCUUAUAAAGAAUUACAGGAACGUGAAUGCUUAUCACAGGAACUGGGGGCUUGCUGCUAUCAAAGAGUCGGAAAUCAAACCAUGCACUCAGAAGUAAAGAAUGUACAGUGGACACAGUGCAAUACCUGUCAUGGUUGGCUUCACACAGAAUGUGCAGGAAUAGAUCGAGCCACUGACACAUCAUUUAACUGUGGGUGCCACAUGAAACUGCCCUAUUGUUUAAAAAGAACGAGGGCUGCUGCGGAAAAGGGCAUGCUGGAAAGUAUCUUGACAGAUGAAGAGAUUCAAGUAAAUGUUCAAAAUGUUAUGAUUAAGCAAAAACUAACACAAGUACAGAAUAAAACAUUGA
This is a long non-coding RNA of Megalobrama amblycephala (Wuchang bream), 359 nucleotides long. RefSeq lists it as uncharacterized. Lineage: Eukaryota; Metazoa; Chordata; Actinopteri; Cypriniformes; Xenocyprididae. The transcript is spliced from 3 exons. The record is from RefSeq and is a predicted model, not a curated record.